Desmophyllum pertusum is the source of this 80-nucleotide non-coding RNA. The record is from the annotation of a GenBank genome assembly. Lineage: Eukaryota; Metazoa; Cnidaria; Anthozoa; Scleractinia; Caryophylliidae.
GGCCGGGAGGCGUGGUGGCCUAAGGUUAGCGCGUUGGACUCCGGAUCGAACGGGUCCGGGUUCGAGCCCUGGCCUGGAUA